AACUUGAUCUGACCAAAAAGAUCUCCAGAUUCAGCAUGAAGUGACUGAGGCUUUACCCUGUAGUGCAGAAAUUGAGAGUCAAUGAAAGGGGCACAUUUCUUCCUUUCUGGGUGGACAUCAGGGGUGCGCACUUCCUCUCAGCAUCCUAGGUUGUACCAUAUACCAUGAAACCAUUGGUUGAACAAGAGGUUUCCUGGGAGAAAAUGGCUUUGUAAAUUGUGAUACCUCCAAUGAGUUCUUCAAGGGUUAAGGUUUUGCAUUGGGACAAUGACCACCCACCUCAAAGAAGGUCACAAAUCCUUAUAACUUAAUUGUCUUCAAGAGUUUCUGUAACCAACAACUCCAUUACCAUGUUCCUGACCUGGAAGUGAGUCUCUCCAAACUCAGAAUUUUGCUGAUUAUACCACAGACGCUUCUCAAUAUUCUUCUUCUGCCCCUGAAGAAUACUCCUUUGUGCUAAGUAAAAAUACUUAAGUAAAAACAUCCUAUACAACAACCGUGUGCAUCAGUAUAUAUCGGAUAUCUUCCCACCCCUAAAAAAAUCUCUGAGAGCUUAAGAGUGAGCUAAGACUUUGGGGACAUCCCAUGCAAUAUUCCUCACCUGUAUUCUCUGACCUCUCUAUGGAGAUAAGAAUUCUACUAACUUUAGAAAAGUGUUUUCAAACUUAAACUAUACUACAAGUCAAUUGAUGCCAAAUACUCCUCCGUUGAAGACUUCUCCAUAGUUUCUGUGAGGCAACUAUUGGUGACUGAUAAGGGGAAUUGAAAUAUAGAAAAAGAAUGGGCAAAAGUUGAGCAGAGCAGAAUGGAAAAAG
Molecule: long non-coding RNA, 815 nt
Filed under: Monodelphis domestica (gray short-tailed opossum)
Lineage: Eukaryota; Metazoa; Chordata; Mammalia; Didelphimorphia; Didelphidae
Description: lncRNA (ENSMODG00000032696.2)
Source: RNAcentral